UUUCCCCUUUCUUUCUCUUCAUUCACGAUCGUAGGUUUCUUUCCCCUUUCUUUUUUCUCUCUCUAGACUUACAUCAAACAGCUCUCUCCUCUCAUAAUUUUGGGUGCAAAUUCCUUCAAGAAAUUAGGGUUUACUUCAAGAAAUAAAGAGUUGGGCAAGGUGGUGGAGGCUUAGGGAGAAGGAGAGAUAGAGCGCGAGAGAGAAUGAGGAAGUGACAUUUGGAUCCCAAUCAAUGUGCUGUAAUGAGGAAGAGAUGUUUGUGUAUGUAUAACAAGUACAGUGCUUGUAUUGCUGUAAACAUAUAUUAAGUGGGAGGAGUGAAAUAAGAAGGCAGGGGACUGUAUAUUAAUUACAAUUUAUUGGCUGGUAUUGUUAAGAAAGGGUUGUUGUCAAUAUGGAUGAUUUGCAAGGCAACGAUGCCCAAAUGCAUAUGACUGAGGCUGAGCAACAAAUGCAUGUACAUUAUAUGCAUGACCAAAGUCAUGGGAUGCAUCAUAUGAAUAAUGGGAAUGUGAUGGAGGAUGAUCAUGGUGAUGGUGUUACGGGUGUAGGUGAAGGCAUUGAUGGGGAGCUCCAUAAUGACCCUGGAAAUGUUUCUGAUACCCAUGGUGGAAUGAUGGUGGCUAAUGGCAGGGGCGGAUCUAGGGGGGGUUCAAGGGGGUUCAUUGAACCCAUAGAUUUUUUGGAAAAAAAUUAUAAGUUUUAAUUUUUUUUUUAAAAAAAAAAGAAAAAGGGUUAAUACAAAUUUCUGUGAGAAUAAUAAUCACAUGGGUAAGUUUGGUGCAUUGGUAAGGCUUUGAAUAAUAGAGCAGCGCGCCCUUUUAAUGUCUUAGGUCUUAGGUUCGCCUCCUAUUGCCCUCUUUUUUUGUACUUUUUUUGUACUUUUUUUUUUUUGUUCUUUUACUCCUUACAUUCAAAUUUCAGAUUUCAGAAAUCAAACAUCGACAUUUCUUAUUUUCCCCAAAUUCCCAAACACCAAAACCCUAACCUUGACACCCUAUGACCCUAGCCAGUAGCCACUAGCCGCCGCGGCACCGCACACCGAGACACCAACCGGCGACCGGGAGCACUGACGACCUCACGGAGUGACGGAGACACGGACGAGGGACGACUGUUCUGAAUUCAGACUUCAGAGUUCUUCUACAAUUGGUCAGGUUUAUGUGUUUGAUUCAGUCUCACCUGAAAAGAUUUGUUCAGUGUUAUGGAUUCUUCGGUUGCUAAAGAUUAUACGGAUGUACCUGUGGAAAGGAUAAUGUUGGAUUAUUGCUGGAACAUACUGUUGACAACCUUGAUCCUCUUCAUAUUGUGAAUGUUGUGCCUGAUGGACUGGAAAUACCUAGGCUGAUAUCGUCAAUCUUUUGGUUAAGUACUACAAAGAAGCAAGGCAAGCGGUUUAUAUGAAUAACACAGAGGAUGAGGCUAGAACUAAGAGAGAUGGAAGAGUCCUUUGCAAAACCACCAGGUUUCAAAAACAUGGAUUUGAAGUCCAAGACUAGGGUCGGAGGCAGAUGUUGCAUAUGCUUUGAUCCUUUUUCCAUCCAAAAUGUUUCGGUUGUCAUUUUCUUUUGCUGUCAUGCAUAUCACAUGACUUGUUAUAUGGACUCAGUCAAUACAUAUAGUGAUGAGAAUGAAGCUCAGGAUGGUUCCCUUGAUUCUGAGUAUGAUGAAUUUGAUGACGAAGAGAAUGGUGAAAGUCAGUCAGACUCCUCUCGAA
This is an RNA transcript of Chenopodium quinoa (quinoa), 1714 nucleotides long. It is a transcript of the gene named GATA transcription factor 24-like, with no coding region annotated. The transcript has 6 exons. NCBI's taxonomy places the organism in Eukaryota, Viridiplantae, Streptophyta, Magnoliopsida, Caryophyllales, Amaranthaceae. The record is from RefSeq and is a predicted model, not a curated record.